RNAcentral lists this ribosomal RNA (502 nucleotides) under uncultured bacterium. RNAcentral describes it as "partial 16S ribosomal RNA". It matches the Rfam family "Bacterial small subunit ribosomal RNA", at positions 30 to 523 of the family's 1533-position model. The record is from RNAcentral.
AUUGAACGCUGGCGGCAUGCCUUACACAUGCAAGUCGAACGGCAGCACGGGUGCUUGCACCUGGUGGCGAGUGGCGAACGGGUGAGUAAAGUAUCGGAACGUGCCUGGUAGUGGGGGAUAACUAGUCGAAAGACUAGCUAAUACCGCAUACGAUCUAAGGAUGAAAGCAGGGGACCUUCGGGCCUUGUGCUAUCAGAGCGGCCGAUAUCUGAUUAGCUAGUUGGUGGGGUAAAAGCCCACCAAGGCGACGAUCAGUAGCUGGUCUGAGAGGACGACCAGCCACACUGGAACUGAGACACGGUCCAGACUCCUACGGGAGGCAGCAGUGGGGAAUUUUGGACAAUGGGGGCAACCCUGAUCCAGCAAUGCCGCGUGAGUGAAGAAGGCCCUCGGGUUGUAAAGCUCUUUUGUCAGGGAAGAAAAGGCUGUGGCUAAUAUCCACAGCUGCUGACGGUACCUGAAGAAUAAGCACCAGCUAACUACGUGCCAGCCGCCGCCGUAA